This 484-nucleotide ribosomal RNA is filed under the name uncultured bacterium. RNAcentral describes it as "partial 16S ribosomal RNA". It matches the Rfam family "Bacterial small subunit ribosomal RNA", at positions 30 to 507 of the family's 1533-position model. The record is from RNAcentral.
AUUGAACGCUGGCGGCAGGCCUAACACAUGCAAGUCGAGCGGAUGAAGGGAGCUUGCUCCUGGAUUCAGCGGCGGACGGGUGAGUAAUGCCUAGGAAUCUGCCUGGUAGUGGGGGAUAACGUCCGGAAACGGGCGCUAAUACCGCAUACGUCCUGAGGGAGAAAGUGGGGGAUCUUCGGACCUCACGCUAUCAGAUGAGCCUAGGUCGGAUUAGCUAGUUGGUGGGGUAAAGGCCUACCAAGGCGACGAUCCGUAACUGGUCUGAGAGGAUGAUUAGUCACACUGGAACUGAGACACGGUCCAGACUCCUACGGGAGGCAGCAGUGGGGAAUAUUGGACAAUAGGCGAAAGCCUGAUCCAGCCAUGCCGCGUGUGUGAAGAAGGUCUUCGGAUUGGAAAGCACUUUAAGUUGGGAGGAAGGGCAGUAAGUUAAUACCUUGCUGUUUUGACGUUACCAACAGAAUAAGCACCGGCUAACUUCGUG